CAGCAGCCACGGUAAUACGUAGGGUGCAAGCGUUAAUCGGAAUUACUGGGCGUAAAGCGUGCGCAGGCGGUUAUAUAAGACAGAUGUGAAAUCCCCGGGCUCAACCUGGGAACUGCAUUUGUGACUGUAUAGCUAGAGUACGGCAGAGGGGGAUGGAAUUCCGCGUGUAGCAGUGAAAUGCGUAGAUAUGCGGAGGAACACCGAUGGCGAAGGCAAUCCCCUGGGCCUGUACUGACGCUCAUGCACGAAAGCGUGGGGAGCAAACAGGAUUAGAUACCCGGGUAGUCCCUGUCUCUUAUAC
RNAcentral lists this ribosomal RNA (301 nucleotides) under uncultured bacterium. RNAcentral's name for it is "partial 16S ribosomal RNA". It matches the Rfam family "Bacterial small subunit ribosomal RNA", at positions 509 to 807 of the family's 1533-position model. The record is from RNAcentral.